AUGGAUAUUAGAGCUAGCAAAUAUGCACACAAGCUGUUUAGUAUUCACCAGAAUGCUUUUAUUAAGGGGAGACACAUAGUGGAUGGAAUCCUAUCUCUCCAUGAAAUUUUGCAUUAUACUCAUUUCAGAAGGCAGGUGGGAGUGGUUUUGAAACUUGACUUUGAAAAAGCAUAUGACAAAGUCAAUUGGGACUUUUUGCUUGACUGUCAUAGGAAACGUGGGUUUAAUUCUAAGUGGUGUGGGUGGGUCUCGCAAAUACUGAAGAAUGGCACAAUUAGUGUCAAGAUCAAUGAUGAAGUGGGACCUUACAUCUAA
Molecule: ribosomal RNA, 315 nt
Filed under: Triticum aestivum (bread wheat)
Lineage: Eukaryota; Viridiplantae; Streptophyta; Magnoliopsida; Poales; Poaceae
Description: partial small subunit ribosomal RNA
Source: RNAcentral